GAUUAACGCUGGCGGCGUGCAUAACACAUGCAAGUCGAACGAUGAAACUCAUUAGAUUUCUUCGGAAUGAAAAUGAAUGGAUUAGUGGCGAACGGGUGAGUAACGCGUGAGUAACCUGCCUUACACAAGGGGAUAGCCUCUGGAAACGGAGAAUAAUACCCUAUGAAACCAGACAAUCGCAUGAUAAUCUGGUCAAAAUGUUUAGUGGUGUAAGAUGGACUUGCGUCUGAUUAGCUAGUUGGUGAGAUAAAAGCUCACCAAGGCAACGAUCAGUAGCCGGGUUGAGAGAGUGUACCGCCACAUUGGGACUGGGCCACGGCCCAGACUCCUACGGGAGGCAGCAGUGGGGAAUUUUGCACAAUGGGGGAAACCCUGAUGCAGCGACGCCGCGUGAUUUAGAAGGCCUUCGGGUUGUAAAAAUCUUUUGUAUAGGAAGAAAAUGACAGUACUAUACGAAUAAGGUCCGGCUAAUUACGUG
RNAcentral lists this ribosomal RNA (478 nucleotides) under uncultured bacterium. RNAcentral's name for it is "partial 16S ribosomal RNA". It matches the Rfam family "Bacterial small subunit ribosomal RNA", at positions 28 to 507 of the family's 1533-position model. The record is from RNAcentral.